Molecule: ribosomal RNA, 253 nt
Filed under: uncultured bacterium
Lineage: Bacteria
Description: partial 16S ribosomal RNA
Rfam family: Bacterial small subunit ribosomal RNA
Source: RNAcentral
UACGUAGGGGGCUAGCGUUGUCCGGAAUCAUUGGGCGUAAAGCGCGCGUAGGCGGCCCGGUAAGUCCGCUGUAAAAGUCAAAGGCUCAACCUUUGAAUGCCGGUGGAUACUGUCGGGCUAGAGUCCGGAAGAGGCGAGUGGAAUUCCUGGUGUAGCGGUGGAAUGCGCAGAUAUCAGGAGGAACACCAAUAGCGAAGGCAGCUCUCUGGGUCCCUACCGACGCUGGGGUGCGAAAGCAUGGGAGCGAACGAGG